GCUGUAGUCGCCAGCCUAUGCCACAGGUCACAGCAACGCUGGAUGCUUACCCCGCUGAGCCAGGCCAGGGAAGGAACCCGCAUUCUCGUGGAUACUAGGUUGUUUAGGGCAUAAAGCAGAGAAUACAGCGCAUUCACGUUCCUCCCAGGGGAACUUCAGGAAGUGUUUACUGCAGUAGUGCGCCUGCGCAGUUGUUCUCCACCAAAUCGCCCGCUUUCCCCCAUCCGGCUAGCAGGGGGCGCUGUGAGACCCCGCCUGUGGGCCGCCGACCGCGACCAUGGUCUCCAAGUCCGACCAACUGCUCAUCGUCGUGUCCAUCCUCGAAGGU
RNAcentral lists this long non-coding RNA (328 nucleotides) under Sus scrofa (pig). RNAcentral describes it as "lncRNA (ENSSSCG00065049190.1)". Lineage: Eukaryota; Metazoa; Chordata; Mammalia; Artiodactyla; Suidae. The record is from RNAcentral.